This 691-nucleotide long non-coding RNA is filed under the name Salmo salar (Atlantic salmon). Its description in RNAcentral is "lncRNA (ENSSSAG00000097724.1)". The record is from RNAcentral. Lineage: Eukaryota; Metazoa; Chordata; Actinopteri; Salmoniformes; Salmonidae.
AGAGCAGCUAAUGGAGAAGGAUUUUCGAAAAAUACAUGAUGUCUCAGAUCUCAAAAGCUGGGGGGGAGACAUCCCGGACUGGGUGAAGAGAGCAAUGCCCUGCAGGGGUGAGUCUUGGUGAAUCAAAGGCUACAGAGGCAGAAAUACUACAGGAAAAAAAUCUGUUGCUCACUUGGAUAUUCUCCAGACCUUUUGAGACUACCUAGAGCUCCUCAAUUUUGAAUCAUUCUGUGACCGUUUGUGUCUGGGUUAUUGCUCCUAAAGGCCCCUUAGGAGAAAUAUUGAGAUGAAGUUAGAGACUUCUGAGACAUAUAUAGGACACGAAGUUGAAUUGAGAUUAUCGUUUUAGCAGUAUUCGAGAAGUAUGAUCAGCAGAGGUCUCAUCAUUGUAUACCGUUGAGCUCCUUCUUGCCUCUUAUUUUAAAGGAGCAAUAAUGAUAAGUUCCUGAGACAAGUUUUGAGACUUUAAUUAGAGUAAUGCUCUUUGUCUCAGGUAAUCAUAUCAGGAAUAUCUAAGUAUGUGUCACGCCCUGACCGUAGAGAUCCUUAUUAUUCUCUAUUACAUUUACAUUUUAGUCAUUUAGCAGACGCUCUUAUCCAGAGCGACUUACAGUAGAGUGCAUACAUUUUAUUACAUUUUUAAAUACUCUAUGUUUGAUUAGGUCAGGGUGUGACUCGGGUGGGGAAGUCU